GACGAACGCUGGCGGCGUGCCUAGUACAUGCAAGUCGAACGCAUUUUCUUUCACCGUAGCUUGCUACACCGAAAGAAAAUGAGUGGCGAACGGGUGAGUAACACGUGGGUAACCUGCCCAUCAGCGGGGGAUAACACUUGGAAACAGGUGCUAAUACCGCAUAAUUCCAUUUACCGCAUGGUAGAUGGGUGAAAGGCGCUUUUGCGUCACUGAUGGAUGGACCCGCGGUGCAUUAGCUAGUUGGUGGGGUAACGGCCUACCAAGGCUGCGAUGCAUAGCCGACCUGAGAGGGUGAUCGGCCACACUGGGACUGAGACACGGCCCAGACUCCUACGGGAGGCAGCAGUAGGGAAUCUUCGGCAAUGGACGCAAGUCUGACCGAGCAACGCCGCGUGAGUGAAGAAGGGUUUCGGAUCGUAAAACUCUGUUGUUAGAGAAGAACAAGGAUGAGAGUGGAAAGUUCAUCCCUUGACGGUAUCUAACCAGAAAGCCACGGCUAACUACGUG
This 507-nucleotide ribosomal RNA is filed under the name uncultured bacterium. RNAcentral describes it as "partial 16S ribosomal RNA". It matches the Rfam family "Bacterial small subunit ribosomal RNA", at positions 28 to 507 of the family's 1533-position model. The record is from RNAcentral.